Molecule: ribosomal RNA, 114 nt
Filed under: Caerostris darwini
Lineage: Eukaryota; Metazoa; Arthropoda; Arachnida; Araneae; Araneidae
Source: RNAcentral
AACGGCCAUACCAUGCUGAAUAUACCGGUUCUCGUUCAGAUCACCGAAGUCAAGCAUCAUUGGGCGCGGUCAGUACUUGGGAGGGUGACCACCCGGGAACACCGCGUGCCGUUG